This 628-nucleotide ribosomal RNA is filed under the name uncultured fungus. Its description in RNAcentral is "eukaryotic LSU rRNA". The stretch from base 233 to 386 matches the Rfam family "5.8S ribosomal RNA". Lineage: Eukaryota; Fungi. The record is from RNAcentral.
CUUGGUCAUUUAGAGGAAGUAAAAGUCGUAACAAGGUCUCCGUUGGUGAACCAGCGGAGGGAUCAUUACCGAGUUUACAACUCCCAAACCCUAUGCAAACCUACCAAAGUUGCUUCGGCGGCCUAUAAUCGCCCCGGGCGCCCCCAAAGCGCCCCGGACCCAGGCGACCGCCGGAGGCCCCAAACUCCUGAAUUACAGUGGAUAUUCUGAGUGGCAUAAGCAAAUAAAUCAAAACUUUCAGCAACGGAUCUCUUGGUUCUGGCAUCGAUGAAGAACGCAGCAAAAUGCGAUAAGUAAUGUGAAUUGCAGAAUUCAGUGAAUCAUCGAAUCUUUGAACGCACAUUGCGCCCGCCAGUAUUCUGGCGGGCAUGCCUGUCUGAGCGUCAUUUCAACCCUCGGGACCCCGUUCGCGGGACCCGGCGUUGGGGAUCAGCCCGAAGCCCUUGCGGCAGGCGGCUGGCCCCGAAAUCUAGUGGCGGUCUCCCCAGCGACCUCCUCUGCGUAGUAGUAACUCACCUCGCAGCUGGACAGCGGGAAGGCCACGCCGUAAAACCCCCAACUCUUACAAGGUUGACCUCAGAUCAGGUAGGAAUACCCGCUGAACUUAAGCAUAUCAAUAAGCGGAGGA